CUUGUUUAACACUGCUGUUCAGUGCUCUGACGUUACUUGCACCAGAGAAAGCAGUAAAUUGGAUCACACCUCCUGACCGAGACUUAAUGCCAUCAAAUGACCAUGACGCAAAAGAGCUUGAUGAUUUGGUUUUUGUUGGUGGGCCUUCUGUGGAUUCUCCCUGUGUGUGUGUCUCAGAAUAAUCCCUGCACAAAAAGAUGUGGAAGACACAACACAAAAUGUCUGGCAUGUUUCUGCAACAACAAGGAAAAUGUGGUCGUUGCAGAUAACUUCACUGCCGUCAUCAACAAACAAAAGCUUUGGAAUAAAAGUGAUAUUUGCACAUUAUUUCUGCAGAAAAAUGCC
Seriola dumerili (greater amberjack) is the source of this 345-nucleotide long non-coding RNA. RefSeq lists it as uncharacterized. The transcript has 4 exons. Lineage: Eukaryota; Metazoa; Chordata; Actinopteri; Carangiformes; Carangidae. The record is from RefSeq and is a predicted model, not a curated record.